Bubalus bubalis (water buffalo) is the source of this 3823-nucleotide RNA transcript. It is a transcript of the gene named protein O-linked mannose N-acetylglucosaminyltransferase 2 (beta 1,4-), with no coding region annotated. NCBI's taxonomy places the organism in Eukaryota, Metazoa, Chordata, Mammalia, Artiodactyla, Bovidae. The record is from RefSeq and is a predicted model, not a curated record. The transcript has 4 exons.
UGAUAGGCAGAUUCUUUACCACUGGCCACCAGGCAAGCCUGGGAGGGUAUUUUUAAAAAUACUUUAACUUAUGCUUUUACAACAGUAAAGAAAGUAAAAGUCACCUUGGAGUCCGUAUUCCAGAAAUAAACUUUCUAAUUCUGGGGUGUAUUUUACGGAGGUCCUUAUUAUCAUAAAUAUUUUUACAUAGCUGAGAAAUCACUGUAUAGCAUUUUUUCCCUCUUCCUCCCAAUUUGUUGAUUUUCUUAGCCUGCCAUUCCCUAUGAAAGGUGCAACAGAUGGUAAAGGAAUUUUCCUCCACCGGAGGUUUUGGAACUCGUUCAGAACGAUUCUGUGGCCGUUGUUUUGGCUGAAAUAUGUGCUUUUUUUUUUUUUUAAAUGAAACCUGCUACUUAGAAUCAGGAGUCAUGGAACUGAACGUAGUCCAGGAAAUGCAGACUGACUCUUGCUACCACAAAACCCCUUUUCCACAAAGGAACACCAUUGGAGGAGAACCCUGAAGUCCACGGUGAUUAUGCCUCAGUGCCUCCCCUCUCCUUUUUGCUCAUUUGCAUAUUUCAAGUUUGUUUUUUUUACAAUGAACAUGUACUGCUUGUAUAACAAAAACAUUGAAAAAAUUCAGUAAGAUAAAGGAAAAAAAGACGCAUAAAGGCAUUUUAUGUGUAGCACAACCUAAAGUGCCAGAGAAUGGCAAUAGACAUUCCACCAAGAAGAGGUCUAGUGAUGAAGUAAGUUGGAAAACGUCGAGUUAAACAAAGCUAAUUGGAUUUCUUGCCUGUAAUACUUCUCAGAGUCUUUAAGACGCUGGUGGGUAGUUUGAUCCUGAAGAGAGGGCUGUUCCCAGCAGUGUAACCAACAGUGUUGGAUCUCUGAACUCCUCUCGUGAGGAGUAUCCCUGCCCACUGACUGUCUGUGGGACUCAUUCUGGAAAACGCGUUUCCAAAGCACUGGCUGCCUGCAGCAUGGGGAGACGCCCCAUUCCCUCUAGGCCACGUUCUCGCGAGAUCUGCAGAGCUGACUGGGAGGAAAUUUGCGGCUGUGACGGCUCUCAGACCAGGUGCUCUGCUGCAAUCUCACCGGCUGGUUAAGAAGGGUGGCCAGCUCCAUUAUGGAUUUUAUUAUCAGUCAAGAGAUCUGGAAAGGAGAAAGACAUCCAGAGGCAUCUGGUUGGUAGGAUCACCGAGCCGUUCAGCAGAGACUGUAGGCUGUGAAUAAGCAAAAGACAAAUGCCCUUGAAUUCCAAGGGCAUAAAAUAUCCCUGCAAAUGGGGCAGUCCAAAGGACAAUCAAAGGAGCAGAGGGGAGCGGGCGCAGCAGUCAGGUCGGAGGCUGCCCGUAUACACUGGGGCCUCACCAUAGCUGCGGCUGCCCUCCAGCUGCCAGGAACUGCGUCUCUCCCUGGAGAGGCCAGAAGUACCUAAGAAUUGAUGGACAGCAGCCCGCAGCCCAUGAGGAGCUCGCCUGCGUCUCCAGGGGGAUGACUAAGGUGCCCAGUCUACGUUGGCUCCCAGAAGCCCCCAUUGGGCUGACUCUCCAGUUGCUCACAGUGGCCUCUGGUUUGGUAACAAACGCUGUAUUAGCUGCCUUCCCUCCCCUGCCUCACUCUACCUAGGAAACAACGUUAAGUCCUGCAGAAAUUUCUUUGCUGGUUAAGAUGACUAGUGCGAAGUCCUACUCUUCUGAAUUUCCAUUUAUUCUCCAAGCCAAGACUUGCUGCACUACAGUGAGUGAAGAACAGUUCCAUCUCAUUUCUGACAGAGGGCAGCAUUUCGUUUUCUACCGCAGGGAGGUGUAUUCCUGGAGCUUGCAAAUGACGCCAGCUCAAAAUAAAGAAAAACAAAUUGAAAUGAGAAUUUUAAUCACUGUGAAGGGAAUGAAAGGCUGUGUCAGCGUUUCCAUGCUCGCAGCUUGAGCUCCAGGGAUGCGAGGGGAAUGAAGAUCACAAAUGUCAGCCAAAGAGGAGGCACUCUGGGUGAAACAAGAUGCAGUCUGAACCUUGGUCACAUCACAUCCAAGUCACCUCUGCUUGGCUUCAAACAUUAUCAGCAGAUAUUUCACUUGUAAUCAGAAAGAGAUCAAGCUAUUUCUCCAAAAGAAGUACCUGCGGUGAGGAUUCGGAUCUAAGAAGAGUGAGCCCCCAGGAGGGUGGGCAGGCUGCAUGAGGAGCCCCGGAAACCCUGGACGUGACAGCAGGAGCUUACACUUGACCGCGCUCAGAGGAGGAAUUGUCUCAUAGAGAUUUCAGUCUGGAACUAGAGGCAAGGACUUGGGACCCAUCCUGACAAUGAAAGCAACCCCACAGAUGCACUGGGAUUUUCACUGGAGCGUCUGUAGGGGCUUUAUAAACAGCAGUGAACCUUCACGGACCCCUUCACAGGGAGCCAGGUAGGAAGGAGGCUUCUCUCUUUGGAGAUGGAGGUACCAAGCUGGGAGGUGAUUUAUCUGAGAGCGUGAAAUGCCAGUGACCAACAAGGGAAUGCAUUUUCAAGCAUCCAGUUGAACCCACAGUUCUUUGAUGCUGACAGACUACUUAUUUGUGUGUGUGUUUUUUUUUAACAGACUACUUAUUUGAAACAAUGGUGACUAACAGCAUUUAUCAAGCACCUUUUAUAGGCUGGACUCUGGUGAAGAUGUUUUUUGCAAUUCAUCCUCACAGUGUUCUUAAAUGCCAGUCCCAUGAUCAUGCCCAUUUUACAGAAGAGGAAACUGAGGUUCAGAGAAGUUCCCUGUCUCACUCAGGUUACACAUCUGGCAAGUGAAGGAGCUGUGAUUGUAACCUAGCUCUCUCUCUGCUAAAGGUGGUGCCUUUCUCUCUGUUUUACUUCUCAGUCUAGCAAGCAGUUUUAACUACAUAUCAACAACCUCAAAAAAUGUUCCUACUCUUUGAUCCAGCUAACCCACUUCUGACAACCAUUCUCAUGAAAUAAUUCUGAGUGCAAAAUAAGUGUCUUAAGGUUCAAUGUGGCUAAGUACACACUGGUGUGUACCCCAGUUCUUCCCUAAAUCCCACUGAAAUGGCGGAAGAGAUUCAGAAAUAAAGAUUGCUUGAGGUUGUGGGCAGUCAGGAGGAGGGGGAAUCAAUGUUCAGAAGAUUAAGGAAUUUCCAGGGAACAUAAGAGAAAUAUAAGAACAGAUUGGUGAAGAAAUGAAAACAAAGCUGUAAUGGUUAAAUGAAUAAUUGUUUGCAGAGUGAAUGCUCCUAGCAGAAUUCUAGAACAGAGGCAACAUGAGCAUGAAAGCAUGAGCUAGAGGUGGACUGGAGAGCGGCGAGUGGUUCCUUUCCACUGUCCACUUUCUGCUCCCUGCACACAGUCACCCGAGGACGGCCCCUGUAUCAGCCACUGCUUCUCUACCAGAGGAAUGGGAUUCUCACAGGGCUAAGCACGUGCUCCUCCAGCCACCAACAGCAUUCAGCCCAGAAGCCCAUCUGCUUUAUUAACAGCUAUGUAAGAAUUGCCAGAUUUUUCAGAAAAGCCAGAGCUUGAGAUUGCUGCAUAGAGGUGUGGAGGUCCUCCUGGAGAAAGAAGCCAGGGCAAAAAGCAGUGGCAUCUGUUUCUUUUUCUUUAACAUGUUUGUGCAGAAUCCUUUAGCUUGGUCUUCUAGCUUACUAAUUUAGUUCUUAGUUAUCUAUUUAGCAUAUUUUUUGAGUUUUUAAAACUUUGUCAGUCAUUGUUUUAAUUCUCAAGAACUCUUAUUGGAUCUUUUGCAGAGAGGUUUUAUUUUUUUUAUUGGAAUGUAGCUGCUUUACAGCGUUAUGUUAGUUUCUGCUGUACAAUGAAGUAAAUCAGCUACACAUAUGCCUGUGUGUUUAGUCCCUCAGUCGU